CUGAAUCUGUCGUCCGAGAAAUAGUCUUAGAGAGAGGAGAGCCGAAAAUAGUAAAAGUAUACACAAGUAGUGGGAAUUGGGAAAUUGUUGAGAUGGAAUUGUGGACCUCUCUCUUUUGAGUUUAAGAGGGAAUUAUUGUAAAAUUUUCCUAUUUCCCAUGCAUCAAUCUUUUUGUUUAAAGUACAACUCCCAUGCAUCUAUCUUUUAUAUGAGGUAUGAG
This 220-nucleotide long non-coding RNA is filed under the name Solanum tuberosum (potato). RNAcentral's name for it is "long non-coding RNA (STUB_LNC009263)". The record is from RNAcentral. Lineage: Eukaryota; Viridiplantae; Streptophyta; Magnoliopsida; Solanales; Solanaceae.